GACGAACGCUGGCGGCGUGCUUAACACAUGCAAGUCGAACGGAAAGGCCCCCUUGUGGGGUACUCGAGUGGCGAACGGGUGAGUAACACGUGAGUAACCUACCCUUGACUUUGGGAUAACUUCAGGAAACUGGGGCUAAUACCGGAUAGGAGCUCCUGCUGCAUGGUGGGGGUUGGAAAGUUUCGGCGGUUGGGGAUGGUCUCGCGGCUUAUCAGCUUGUUGGUGGGGUAGUGGCUCACCAAGGCUUUGACGGGUAGCCGGCCUGAGAGGGUGACCGGCCACAUUGGGACUGAGAUACGGCCCAGACUCCUACGGGAGGCAGCAGUGGGGAAUAUUGCACAAUGGGCGGAAGCCUGAUGCAGCAACGCCGCGUGCGGGAUGACGGCCUUCGGGUUGUAAACCGCUUUCGCCUGUGACGAAGCGUGAGUGACGGUAAUGGGUAAAGAAGCACCGGCUAACUACGUG
RNAcentral lists this ribosomal RNA (465 nucleotides) under uncultured bacterium. RNAcentral's name for it is "partial 16S ribosomal RNA". It matches the Rfam family "Bacterial small subunit ribosomal RNA", at positions 28 to 507 of the family's 1533-position model. The record is from RNAcentral.